AUAAGGAGCGUGAGAGAAUGAGAACUCUGGGUAGAGUAAUUGCUAUUUUCUUCCCUUCUUCUGUCAUGAUAGCCUCCCUCACAACCUUUUUCUGUCAGCACAGAACCCAGUGCUUCAGCAAUUGGCUGUCCUUCCCAAACAACAACAACGUACCACUCUCUUUCUGGUUUCUGCUCAUCUUUGAAUUCUUUACGUAUUUUUUCCUACUACUUUUUUUUACUUCGUCCAAUUUACGAACAAAUGAAAAGACCCAUUCUGAUUUCUGGGUGCCACUACAGAGUACAGACAGUCUCCGCUGGGUCCCUCCUUCACGCGCCAAGAAAAUGGCAUGGAUUCAAGUCAAAAUCCAUGGUUCAAGCCAUUGGUUUGCUGGGGCGAGGGCCCAGGGGUGGAUAAUUGUAGAUAGAGUGCCACGUGUUCUAAGCAUUGAGGAUUGAGCUGGCAUCAAUUGGCGUCUUUCGGCAAUAUUAUUAUAGCACAGGACUGGCGGCAGGCCUGGCACUACUUGCAACUCGCUUCUCUGCUAAGUAAUUUCUGUUCAGCUUUCAUCUCCCCCACCCCCCAAUUUUUCGGAUCAGAUUGCAAUCAACCAGUUUCUCCUCCACUCAAUCUUUGAGAUAAUAAUAAUAACGUUAUUUUAUAUCCGAUCAUGUCGGAAAAUCU
Carya illinoinensis is the source of this 663-nucleotide long non-coding RNA. RefSeq lists it as uncharacterized. NCBI's taxonomy places the organism in Eukaryota, Viridiplantae, Streptophyta, Magnoliopsida, Fagales, Juglandaceae. The transcript is spliced from 2 exons. The record is from RefSeq and is a predicted model, not a curated record.